CGAAGAGCCGUCCCCUCCCCCUUUCCCUUCCCCUCCCCCCCACACAGAUAUAUACAUACACACACUGCUUCCAUUGCGCUCCCUCCCGACCAUCUUCUGGAUGAUGUCUACAGCAGCCAAGAAAGGGCCCCGUACCGGGACCAACAAAUCGGCCAAAGGUAGCAUCGUCUGCGCCGCACCGGGCACAGAUGCGAAGCACACCGCGGCAUCAUCGCCAUUCACGCCCGCGACGCUUCUGGAGGUUCCGCCGGAGUACAAGCAACAGCUGCGCCAGGCAUUCGAUAAGUUUGACGACUCCGGCAAAGGCUUUAUUCCUGCACACGAGGUGGUGGUUGCUCUCUACGCGCUUGGAUACGACGUAGGCAGCGCGGAGCUGCAGCAGCUGCUUCAAGAGGUUGGGGCUGCCGGCGCUGAGUCGAUCGACUUCAAUGACUUCUACAACGUUCUAGUGCUGAAGAUGAGCAAGAAGGAGAGCAAGACGGAGUCGGUGCGCGCCUUUAAACAGAUGGACCGAGAUGACAAGGGGUACAUCGGCCUCGAAGACCUGCGCUCUAUGUCCGACUCACUGCACAUGAACUUGACAGACGACGAGCUGUCCGAGAUGAUCCAGUUCGCGCGGUCCGUUGGAUACCACACCCCCGCGCAAGGACAGUCGGAGUUCGACGCGAGGGACAUGCUGGCGGUCUCGGAGACCGAGUACUUGCGUUUGAUGAAGCGAGCCAACGUUUACUGAAUGGGCGGACGAGGGAUAGUGAUGAGGGCCAAGCCUCUCGACGGACUUAUGCUGUCGCUGACAUUGCGGUGGUGCCGCUAACAGCCUGCAUGCAACUUCGAUGUCUGCUGUUGCUGCCGUUGUUGUGCAGUGCGAGAGCGCAAGAAAAUAAUAAGUUCAGAGAGAGGAGCGGGGCAACGAUGAGCGGGCUGAUCUUCAGCGCUCCUCGCGACGCACGACAGCAUCAGAACUGAAUGCGAAGCUGGCGCGCUUUCCGUCAUGUACACUACAGCGCGAACUGCACUUUAAUGUGUGAGCAACAAGGAAAAAAAGCGGAAAUAAUCUCUAUCGCGCGAGGCUGUGACGUGCGGCGCUACCAGCUCUGAGUACAGCGCCACACUUUCCCUCCUCCGCGUGUGCUGUUUUACUCCGAACGAUCCGGAUGCCAGCAACUUGUUGCUGACGCUUGGCUAGAGAGCAGGCGCCGAGCGAUCUCGGCAAGAGUGAGUGAGAGGGAGAGAGCUCACGGGAGGGGGGGGGCAGAAGAAUGCGUUGCCCUUCUCUCUUGCUCCACUCCACUCCGGCCGGCGUGUGUGUGUGUAAAGGGGAAGGUAAGGAUAUUCGUUUGUGCCCCCUACAUCCGUGCCGUCAAACUGAUAGGAGGCUCAUCAACGACAUCCUUGCGGCGCUGUGACGGUGUGCACUUUGCCCUACUCUUUUCACGUAAACCAGAGUCAUCUCCCUCCCCAUAAGCACUUGUCUGCCCUGGUUGCCUUCUCGCUUCUCUCUUCUCCCUCCUCUUGUCUCGUCGUUCGCGUGCCAUCACGGCACUUGUGCUGUCCCCUUUAACGUUAUGCUUGGUCCUGCCCCUCUGGUGCACACUCUUUUUUUCUCUGACGGCUCGUGCCUGCACAUUGAAUGCCGGUGCGAAUCAUUCCGCUCUUUCCUGUCACCUUCUGAAUGAGCGGAACCGCAACAG
This 1691-nucleotide unclassified non-coding RNA is filed under the name Leishmania donovani. Its description in RNAcentral is "gene:LdHU3.32.0850(CDS-product:centrin_putative)". Lineage: Eukaryota; Euglenozoa; Kinetoplastea; Trypanosomatida; Trypanosomatidae. The record is from RNAcentral.